This 253-nucleotide ribosomal RNA is filed under the name uncultured bacterium. Its description in RNAcentral is "partial 16S ribosomal RNA". It matches the Rfam family "Bacterial small subunit ribosomal RNA", at positions 524 to 776 of the family's 1533-position model. The record is from RNAcentral.
UACGGAGGGUGCAAGCGUUAAUCGGAAUUACUGGGCGUAAAGGGUGCGUAGGCGGCCCGACAGGUGAGGUGUGAAAUCCCUCGGCUCAACCGAGGAACUGCGCUUCAAACCGUCAGGCUUGAGGGAGAUAGAGGUGAGCGGAACAGAUGGUGGAGCGGUGAAAUGCGUUGAUAUCAUCUGGAACACCGGUGGCGAAAGCGGCUCACUGGAUCUUUUCUGACGCUGAGGAACGAAAGCUAGGGUAGCGAACGGG